RNAcentral lists this ribosomal RNA (394 nucleotides) under Salmonella enterica. Its description in RNAcentral is "partial 23S ribosomal RNA". It matches the Rfam family "Bacterial large subunit ribosomal RNA", at positions 1 to 435 of the family's 2925-position model. Lineage: Bacteria; Pseudomonadati; Pseudomonadota; Gammaproteobacteria; Enterobacterales; Enterobacteriaceae. The record is from RNAcentral.
GUUAAGCGACUAAGCGUACACGGUGGAUGCCCUGGCAGUCAGAGGCGAUGAAGGGCGUGCUAAUCUGCGAUAAGCGCCGGUAAGGUGAUAUGAACCGUUAUAACCGGCGAUACCCGAAUGGGGAAACCCAGUGUGAUUCGUCACACUAUCAUUAACUGAAUCCAUAGGUUAAUGAGGCGAACCGGGGGAACUGAAACAUCUAAGUACCCCGAGGAAAAGAAAUCAACCGAGAUUCCCCCAGUAGCGGCGAGCGAACGGGGAGGAGCCCAGAGCCUGAAUCAGCAUGUGUGUUAGUGGAAGCGUCUGGAAAGGCGCGCGAUACAGGGUGACAGCCCCGUACACAAAAGCGCAUGUGCUGUGAGCUCGAUGAGUAGGGCGGGACACGUGGUAUCCU